RNAcentral lists this long non-coding RNA (412 nucleotides) under Mytilus galloprovincialis (Mediterranean mussel). The record is from RNAcentral. Lineage: Eukaryota; Metazoa; Mollusca; Bivalvia; Mytilida; Mytilidae.
GAGCAAUUUGGAAAAAUAAUUUUGUCGGUUUCUAUUACAGUUGCGAAGCCUUAGAGAUAACAAGAAAAACAGUGUUUUGGGAGAUAACUCUUAUUUGGGAAAGUAUUCGGUUAAGCAGAGUUGGUUUCAAAAGCAUAUAAACUGUUCGAUAUCAUAUUCCAAAAAUCUAAGCGACAUCUUGCGAAACAAAAAAAACAGCGAAGGAAAAAAAUUAGGCCGAAGAAAAAAAAAAGAAAAAAAAAUAAUAAUCAGAAGAAAUCCAAUAGGUCUUUCCACGGAAAAGUGGAAAGACUUAAUAAUAAUCAGAAGAAAUCCAAUAGGUCUUUCCACGGAAAAGUGGAAAGACUUAAUAAUAAUCAGAAGAAAUCCAAUAGGUCUUUCCACGGAAAAGUGGAAAGACCUAAUAAGGCUU